UACGUAGGCAGCGAGCGUUGUUCGGAGUUACUGGGCGUAAAGCGUGCGUAGGCGGUGGUCCAAGUCUGGUGUGAAAUCUCCCGGCUCAACUGGGAGGGUGCGCCGGAAACUGGGCCGCUGGAGUACGGGAGAGGCAAGCGGAAUUCCUGGUGUAGCGGUGAAAUGCGCAGAUAUCAGGAAGAACACCCGUGGCGAAGGCGGUUCUCUGGGACGGUACUGACGCUGAGACGCGAAAGCGUGGGGAGCGAACAGG
RNAcentral lists this ribosomal RNA (253 nucleotides) under uncultured bacterium. RNAcentral's name for it is "partial 16S ribosomal RNA". It matches the Rfam family "Bacterial small subunit ribosomal RNA", at positions 524 to 776 of the family's 1533-position model. The record is from RNAcentral.